UUAAAUUGAAGAGUUUGAUCAUGGCUCAGAUUGAACGCUGGCGGCAGGCCUAACACAUGCAAGUCGAACGGUAACAGGAAGCAGCUUGCUGCUUUGCUGACGAGUGGCGGACGGGUGAGUAAUGUCUGGGAAACUGCCUGAUGGAGGGGGAUAACUACUGGAAACGGUGGCUAAUACCGCAUAACGUCGCAAGACCAAAGAGGGGGACCUUCGGGCCUCUUGCCAUCAGAUGUGCCCAGAUGGGAUUAGCUUGUUGGUGAGGUAACGGCUCACCAAGGCGACGAUCCCUAGCUGGUCUGAGAGGAUGACCAGCCACACUGGAACUGAGACACGGUCCAGACUCCUACGGGAGGCAGCAGUGGGGAAUAUUGCACAAUGGGCGCAAGCCUGAUGCAGCCAUGCCGCGUGUAUGAAGAAGGCCUUCGGGUUGUAAAGUACUUUCAGCGGGGAGGAAGGUGUUGUGGUUAAUAACCGCAGCAAUUGACGUUACCCGCAGAAGAAGCACCGGCUAACUCCGUGCCAGCAGCCGCGGUAAUACGGAGGGUGCAAGCGUUAAUCGGAAUUACUGGGCGUAAAGCGCACGCAGGCGGUCUGUCAAGUCGGAUGUGAAAUCCCCGGGCUCAACCUGGGAACUGCAUUCGAAACUGGCAGGCUUGAGUCUUGUAGAGGGGGGUAGAAUUCCAGGUGUAGCGGUGAAAUGCGUAGAGAUCUGGAGGAAUACCGGUGGCGAAGGCGGCCCCCUGGACAAAGACUGACGCUCAGGUGCGAAAGCGUGGGGAGCAAACAGGAUUAGAUACCCUGGUAGUCCACGCCGUAAACGAUGUCUACUUGGAGGUUGUGCCCUUGAGGCGUGGCUUCCGGAGCUAACGCGUUAAGUAGACCGCCUGGGGAGUACGGCCGCAAGGUUAAAACUCAAAUGAAUUGACGGGGGCCCGCACAAGCGGUGGAGCAUGUGGUUUAAUUCGAUGCAACGCGAAGAACCUUACCUGGUCUUGACAUCCACGGAAGUUUUCAGAGAUGGAUUGGUGCCUUCGGGAACCGUGAGACAGGUGCUGCAUGGCUGUCGUCAGCUCGUGUUGUGAAAUGUUGGGUUAAGUCCCGCAACGAGCGCAACCCUUAUCCUUUGUUGCCAGCGGUCCGGCCGGGAACUCAAAGGAGACUGCCAGUGAUAAACUGGAGGAAGGUGGGGAUGACGUCAAGUCAUCAUGGCCCUUACGACCAGGGCUACACACGUGCUACAAUGGCGCAUACAAAGAGAAGCGACCUCGCGAGAGCAAGCGGACCUCAUAAAGUGCGUCGUAGUCCGGAUUGGAGUCUGCAACUCGACUCCAUGAAGUCGGAAUCGCUAGUAAUCGUGGAUCAGAAUGCCACGGUGAAUACGUUCCCGGGCCUUGUACACACCGCCCGUCACACCAUGGGAGUGGGUUGCAAAAGAAGUAGGUAGCUUAACCUUCGGGAGGGCGCUUACCACUUUGUGAUUCAUGACUGGGGUGAAGUCGUAACAAGGUAACCGUAGGGGAACCUGCGGUUGGAUCACCUCCUUACCUUAAAGAAGC
This 1556-nucleotide ribosomal RNA is filed under the name Salmonella enterica subsp. enterica serovar Schwarzengrund. RNAcentral describes it as "bacterial SSU rRNA". It matches the Rfam family "Bacterial small subunit ribosomal RNA". Lineage: Bacteria; Pseudomonadati; Pseudomonadota; Gammaproteobacteria; Enterobacterales; Enterobacteriaceae. The record is from RNAcentral.